UCGGGAAUUUUGGGCAAUGGGCGAAAGCCUGACCCAGCAACGCCGCGUGAAGGAUGAAGUAUUUCGGUAUGUAAACUUCGUAAGAAUAGGAAGAAUAAAUGACGGUACUAUUUGUAAGGUCCGGCUAACUACGUGCCAGCAGCCGCGGUAAUACGUAGGGACCAAGCGUUGUUCGGAUUUACUGGGCGUAAAGGGCGCGUAGGCGGUGUGUCAAGUCAGUUGUGAAAUCUCUGGGCUUAACCCAGAACGGCCAAGUGAUACUGUCGCGCUAGAGUGCAGAAGGGGCAAUCGGAAUUCUUGGUGUAGCGGUGAAAUGCGUAGAUAUCAAGAGGAACACCUGAGGUGAAGACGGGUUGCUGGGCUGACACUGACGCUGAGGCGCGAAAGCCAGGGGAGCAAACGGGAUUAGAUACCCCUGUAGUCCCUGAGCGGGCUGGCAAGGCGCAU
Molecule: ribosomal RNA, 447 nt
Filed under: uncultured bacterium
Lineage: Bacteria
Description: bacterial SSU rRNA
Rfam family: Bacterial small subunit ribosomal RNA
Source: RNAcentral